AUUGAACGCUGGCGGCAUGCCUUACACAUGCAAGUCGAACGGUAACGCGGGGCAACCUGGCGACGAGUGGCGAACGGGUGAGUAAUGCAUCGGAACGUGCCCAGUAGUGGGGGAUAGCCCGGCGAAAGCCGGAUUAAUACCGCAUACGACCUACGGGUGAAAGGGGGGGAUCGCAAGACCUCUCGCUAUUGGAGCGGCCGAUGUCAGAUUAGGUAGUUGGUGGGGUGAAGGCCUACCAAGCCAACGAUCUGUAGCUGGUCUGAGAGGACGACCAGCCACACUGGGACUGAGACACGGCCCAGACUCCUACGGGAGGCUGCAGUGGGGAAUUUUGGACAGUGGGCGCAAGCCUGAUCCAGCCAUGCCGCGUGCGGGAAGAAGGCCUUCGGGUUGUAAACCGCUUUUGUCAGGGAAGAAACGCUCCGAGAUAAUACCUCGGGGUAAUGACGGUACCUGAAGAAUAAGCACCGGCUAACUACGUGCCAGCCGCCGCAGUAA
This 498-nucleotide ribosomal RNA is filed under the name uncultured bacterium. RNAcentral describes it as "partial 16S ribosomal RNA". It matches the Rfam family "Bacterial small subunit ribosomal RNA", at positions 29 to 523 of the family's 1533-position model. The record is from RNAcentral.